UGGGGAAUAUUGGACAAUGGGCGAAAGCCUGAUCCAGCCAUGUCGCAUGAGUGAAGAAGGCCUUUGGGUUGUAAAGCUCUUUUAGUGAGGAAGAUAAUGACGGUACUCACAGAAGAAGUCCUGGCUAACUCCGUGCCAGCAGCCGCGGUAAUACGGAGAGGGCUAGCGUUAUUCGGAAUUAUUGGGCGUAAAGGGCGCGUAGGCUGAUUAAUAAGUUAAAAGUGAAAUCCCGAGGCUUAACCUUGGAAUUGCUUUUAAAACUAUUAAUCUAGAGAUUGAAAGAGGAUAGGGGAAUUCCUGAUGUAGAGGUAAAAUUCGUAAAUAUUAGGAGGAACACCAGUGGCGAAGGCGUCUAUCUGGUUCAAAUCUGACGCUGAGGCGCGAAAGCGUGGGGAGCAAACA
RNAcentral lists this ribosomal RNA (402 nucleotides) under uncultured bacterium. RNAcentral's name for it is "partial 16S ribosomal RNA". It matches the Rfam family "Bacterial small subunit ribosomal RNA", at positions 355 to 774 of the family's 1533-position model. The record is from RNAcentral.